GAUGAACGCUGGCGGCGUGCCUAACACAUGCAAGUCGAACGGAAAGACCGUGAGCUUGUGCCUUUGCCGUUAGCGGAUGGCGGGUGGGUAACGCGUGGAUACCCUACUUAUCUUUCGGGGAUAAUUACGUAAAAACGGCUAUGAUACCAUAGAAUAUAUUGAACCGCAGGGUGCAGUGGAGAAUUGCGGUUUUGGUGUCUGUACUAGCUGCUUCCGAGCCGCAUUGGCUAGUUGGUAAGGUAACGGCUUACCAGGGCUACGAAGCGUAGCCGAGCUGACAGGGUGAUCGGCCACACUGGAACUGGGACACGGUCCAGACUCCUACGGGAGGCAGCAGUCGGGAAUAUUAGGCAAUGGGCGCAAGCCUGACCCAGCCAUGCCGCGUGAGUGAAGAAGGCCUUCGGAUCGUAAAACCCUGUUAUUGGGGAAGAACAGCUGUGGAAUUAAACCCCGCCGUACUGACGGUACCUAAUCAGAAAGCACCGGCUAACUACGUG
RNAcentral lists this ribosomal RNA (497 nucleotides) under uncultured bacterium. RNAcentral describes it as "partial 16S ribosomal RNA". It matches the Rfam family "Bacterial small subunit ribosomal RNA", at positions 28 to 507 of the family's 1533-position model. The record is from RNAcentral.